Molecule: ribosomal RNA, 253 nt
Filed under: uncultured bacterium
Lineage: Bacteria
Description: partial 16S ribosomal RNA
Rfam family: Bacterial small subunit ribosomal RNA
Source: RNAcentral
UACGUAGGGUGCAAGCGUUGUCCGGAAUUAUUGGGCGUAAAGAGCUCGUAGGCGGUCAGUCGCGUCUGCUGUGAAAACUCGGGGCUUAACUCCGGGCCUGCAGUGGGUACGGGCUGACUAGAGUGCGGUAGGGGAGACUGGAAUUCCUGGUGUAGCGGUGAAAUGCGCAGAUAUCAGGAGGAACACCGGUGGCGAAGGCGGGUCUCUGGGCCGUAACUGACGCUGAGGAGCGAAAGCGUGGGGAGCAAACAGG